RNAcentral lists this transfer RNA (75 nucleotides) under Cordylochernes scorpioides. Its description in RNAcentral is "tRNA-Thr". The record is from RNAcentral. Lineage: Eukaryota; Metazoa; Arthropoda; Arachnida; Pseudoscorpiones; Chernetidae.
GUUCAGGGUGGCCUAGUGAACAUGGCAUCUGUCCGGUAAUAGGAACACUGUGGGUUCGAUUCCCAUCCCUGGGCA